UACGGAGGAUCCAAGCGUUAUCCGGAUUUAUUGGGUUUAAAGGGUGCGUAGGCGGCCUAUUAAGUCAGGGGUGAAAGACGGUAGCUUAACUAUCGCAGUGCCUUUGAUACUGAUGGGCUUGAAUACACUAGAGGUAGGCGGAAUGUGACAAGUAGCGGUGAAAUGCAUAGAUAUGUCACAGAACACCAAUUGCGAAGGCAGCUUACUAUGGUGCAAUUGACGCUGAGGCACGAAAGCGUGGGGAUCAAACAGG
This 253-nucleotide ribosomal RNA is filed under the name uncultured bacterium. RNAcentral's name for it is "partial 16S ribosomal RNA". It matches the Rfam family "Bacterial small subunit ribosomal RNA", at positions 524 to 776 of the family's 1533-position model. RNAcentral also lists the same sequence under 1 other name. The record is from RNAcentral.